UAUUCGGCGCUAAAUCAAGCAAUUAAUGUCGCAUGGAUAUAUCUUCUUGAUUUAUUCGACCAGCCUGAUUUGGAGACCUUCCACACCAUAAAGACAACUCCAAAACGUCACUACUUCAUGCCAAAGUUGUCUAGAUACAAAGAACUCUCACAUUUUCCUCAUUUGGCCCAAAAUCGAGCAUUAAAGGCCAUAUCAAUCAAACCUUUGAUUGAUUUAUCAUUUAGUUUAAUUUAUUUGUAUUUAUGUUGAUUUAUUUUCUCAUUUAUUGUUUUAAAACAUUUGUGUACGAGCCUAUAUAAGCUCAUCUCAUGUCAUUGUAAAAGACACCCUUGAAUUUGAAAGAAAUAGA
Molecule: long non-coding RNA, 349 nt
Filed under: Arabidopsis lyrata
Lineage: Eukaryota; Viridiplantae; Streptophyta; Magnoliopsida; Brassicales; Brassicaceae
Description: long non-coding RNA (ALYR_LNC002790)
Source: RNAcentral